This 107-nucleotide small nuclear RNA is filed under the name Carlito syrichta (Philippine tarsier). The record is from RNAcentral. Lineage: Eukaryota; Metazoa; Chordata; Mammalia; Primates; Tarsiidae.
GUGCUCGCUUCAGCAGCACAUAUACUAAAAUUGGAAUGCUACAGAGAAGACUAGCAUGGUUCCUGCUCAAGGAUGACACAGAAAUUUGUGAAGCGUUCCAUAUAUUU